Molecule: long non-coding RNA, 212 nt
Filed under: Trifolium pratense (red clover)
Lineage: Eukaryota; Viridiplantae; Streptophyta; Magnoliopsida; Fabales; Fabaceae
Description: long non-coding RNA (TPRA_LNC002776)
Source: RNAcentral
GUUUUAGUAUUGUGUCAAUUGUGUUCUGAGUCUUGUGUUAAUCUACACACUAGACUAGGAACUGUGUGUCUUUGUGUUGUAAUAUCUCUGGAGCUUCUAAGCAAGGAGAUAGUGUGUGUAUACCAUUCCAAAGCUUUUAAGUACGGAAGUGGUGUGUGUUUUAUGAAGUGUGUCUUCACCUGUUGAAUCUUAAAGUGUACGAUCACAGUGGC